GCUCUUGCACUUCUCAGUGAGUAGGAGGUUUGUGGUCCUUUGCUGGCACCCGUGAUUGGCAUCGUCUAAUGAAGUUUGACUGUUGAAUAGGAGGUGGAGCUGGUUGUGAUACAAUUUGGGUGGUUCCCUACAUUUCACAAUCAAUAAAAUUAAUCAUCAUCAAAUACUAACAAAUAACCUUGAUGAAAGAGACAAUGAACUAAUGAAAAUAAUAAUAUAAAGGGAUUAGUCUAACAUCCGGCAUCCAUCUAACAAUGAAUUCUGACUGCAUUCUUGGUGGAGGUGGGGGUGG
RNAcentral lists this long non-coding RNA (292 nucleotides) under Elaeis guineensis (African oil palm). RNAcentral describes it as "long non-coding RNA (EGUI_LNC042082)". Lineage: Eukaryota; Viridiplantae; Streptophyta; Magnoliopsida; Arecales; Arecaceae. The record is from RNAcentral.